Molecule: ribosomal RNA, 424 nt
Filed under: uncultured bacterium
Lineage: Bacteria
Description: bacterial SSU rRNA
Rfam family: Bacterial small subunit ribosomal RNA
Source: RNAcentral
UUAGGAAUUUUGGGCAAUGGCCGCAAGGCUGACCCAGCAACGCCGCGUGGGGGACGAAGGCCUUCGGGUUGUAAACCCCUUUUGUCAGGGACGAUGAUGACGGUACCUGACGAAGAAGCCCCGGCUAACUACGUGCCAGCAGCCGCGGUAAUACGUAGGGGGCGAGCGUUGUCCGGAUUCAUUGGGCGUAAAGCGCGCGUAGGCGGCCCCGCAAGUCGGCCGUGAAAUCUCCGGGCUCAACUCGGAGGGGUCGGGCGAGACUGCGGGGCUCGAGGUGGGCAGAGGGCAGUGGAAUUCCGGGUGUAGUGGUGGAAUGCGUAGAGAUCCGGAGGAACACCAGUGGCGAAGGCGGCUGCCUGGGCCUGGCCUGACGCUGAGGCGCGAAAGCGUGGGGAGCGAUCCGGAUUAGAUACCCCCGUAGUCC